Molecule: ribosomal RNA, 495 nt
Filed under: uncultured bacterium
Lineage: Bacteria
Description: partial 16S ribosomal RNA
Rfam family: Bacterial small subunit ribosomal RNA
Source: RNAcentral
GACGAACGCUGGCGGCGUGCCUAAUACAUGCAAGUAGAACGCUGAAGGAGGAGCUUGCUUCUCUGGAUGAGUUGCGAACGGGUGAGUAACGCGUAGGUAACCUGCCUGGUAGCGGGGGAUAACUAUUGGAAACGAUAGCUAAUACCGCAUAAGAGUAGAUGUUGCAUGACAUUUGCUUAAAAGGUGCAAUUGCAUCACUACCAGAUGGACCUGCGUUGUAUUAGCUAGUUGGUGGGGUAACGGCUCACCAAGGCGACGAUACAUAGCCGACCUGAGAGGGUGAUCGGCCACACUGGGACUGAGACACGGCCCAGACGCCUACGGGAGGCAGCAGUAGGGAAUCUUCGGCAAUGGACGGAAGUCUGACCGAGCAACGCCGCGUGAGUGAAGAAGGUUGUCGGAUCGUAAAGCUCUGUUGUAAGAGAAGAACGAGUGUGAGAGUGGAAAGUUCACACUGUGACGGUAGCUUACCAGAAAGGGACGGCUAACUACGUG